AGUGCUCAUCACACUGUGAUACAGUUACUUACUAAUAUCUUUUUCUACUCAAUUUUCUGUGCACUCACAGAAGGCAGAAACUGUACCUUUCAUUUCCAUGAUUCUCAUGGAUAAAGCCCUCAAUAAAUGUUUGCCAGAUGAAUGACUUGCCCAAGGUCACACUGCUAAUAUAUGGCAGAACCGGGACCAGAACCAAGACCUCCGACUCCCCAGAUCCCAUAUCCUUGCUGUUCUCCUGGGAUGUUUUCUGGAAGAAAAUGAGCUGUGGGCCUAAAAAGAAGCCAAUCAAGCAUUUGGCAGGCUCAGAUUGGAAAUAUACCAUUAGCUGUCCUGGGCCUCGAGUUUGCCAACCUCAGAUCUUGGGACUUCUCUACCUCCAUAAUCAUUAAACUUUUUUUUUCAGUGCCCUGGAUGUGCCACAUUCCCUCACAACUCCGAACCUUGAAAGUGCUGUUCCUUCAGCUUGGAAGUCUUCCUCACUCCUGACCCGCACCACCUCACCUGGCUAACUCCUAUUUACAUCAGGCUCAGCUCAGAGGCGCCUUGGAGGCAUUGGAGACAGGAUGCAGGGAAGGAGCCCCCUCUGCUUCCACUACUGAGCAGGGAUUAGUCCAGAAGGUACCCAGGAGGGGAAAGGUGGACUGAAAGACUGCUUUUCCUCCCCUUUAACCCUCCCUUCUGUCUCUACAAAAAUCAAAUCAAAAUGGAUUAAUGACUUAAAUCUAAGACCUCAAACUAUAAAACUACUAAAAGAAAACAUUGGGGAAACUCUCCAGGACAUUGGUUGGGGAAGAUAUUUCUUGAGUAAUACCCCACAAGCACAGACAACCAAAGCAAAAAUGGACAAAUGGGAUCACGUCAAGUUAACAAGCUUCUGCACAGCAAAGGAAACAACCAACAAAGUGAAGAGACAACCUACGGAACGGGAGAAAAUAUUUGCAAAUUACCCAUCUGACAAAGGAUUAACAAUCAGAAUAUAGAAGGAGCUCAAACAACUCUACAGGAAAAUAAAUCUAAUACUCCAAUAAAAAAUGCCCAAAAGACUUGAAUGGGCAUUUCUCAAAAGAAGUCAUAAAUGGCAAACAGGUAUAUGAAAAGGUGCUCAACAUCACAGAUAAUCAAAGAAAUGCAGAUCAAAACCACAGUGAGAUAUCAUCUCACCCCAGUCAAAAUGGGUUAUAUACAAAAGACAGGCAAUAAUAAAUGCUGGUGAGGAUGUGGAGAAAAGAGAAUCCAUGUACAGUGUUGGUGGGAAUGUAAAUUAGUACAAGCACUCUGAAGGACAGUUUGGAGGUUCUUCAAAAAACUAAAAAUAUAGCUACCAUAUGGUCCAGCAAUCCCACUGCUGGGUAUGAACCUAAAAGAAAGGAAAUCAGUGUAUUGAAGAGAUGUCUGCACUCCCAUGUUUGUUGCAGCACUGUCACAAUAGCCAAGAUUUGAAACCAACCUAAAUAUCCAUCCACAGAUGAAUGCAUAAGGAAAACGUGGUAGAUAUACACAAUGGAGUACUAUUCAGCUUUGAGAAAGAAUGAGAUCCUAUCAUUUGCAACAUGGCUGGAACUGGAGGUCAUUAUGUUAAAUGAAAUAAGCCAGGCACAGAAAGACAAACAUUACAUGUUCUGACUUAUUUGUGGGAUGUAAAAAUCAAAACAAUUGAACUCAUGGAGAUAAGUCAGUUAGAAGGACGGUUACCAGAGGCUGGGAAGGCUUGUGGCGGGGGGCAGGGAGGAGAUGGGGGAGAGGUAGAGUAGGGUAAUGGGUACCAAAAAAAAGUUGGAAAGAAUGAAUAAGACCUAGUAUUUGAUAGAAUAGGGAGACUAUAAUAAAAAAUAAUUUAAUUAUACAUUCUAAAAUAACUAAAAGAAUGUAAUUAGAUUGCUUGUAACACAAAGGAUAAAUGCUUGAGGAGAAGGAUAUGCCAUUUUCCAUGAUGGGAUUAUUAUGCAUUCCAUGCUUGUAUCAAAGUAUCUCAUGUACCGCAUAAAUAUAUACACAACUAUGUAACCCCAAAAAUGAAAAAUUAAAAAUUUUUUUAAAACGAAGUUUCACUCUUGUCACCCAGGCUGGAGUGCAAUGGCACCAUCUUGGCUCACGGCAACCUCCACCUCCUAGGUUCAAGCGAUUCUCCUGCCUCAGCCUCCUGAGUAGCUGAGAUUACAGGCAUGUGCCACCAUGCCGGACUAAUUUUUGUAUUUUUAGUAGAGAUGGGGUUUCACCAUGUUGGCCAAG
This 2229-nucleotide long non-coding RNA is filed under the name Homo sapiens (human). RNAcentral describes it as "non-protein coding lnc-MAX-2:6". The record is from RNAcentral. Lineage: Eukaryota; Metazoa; Chordata; Mammalia; Primates; Hominidae.